CUUUGAACAGUCACUAAAUGAACUCUUGUAAGUAGAGGGCUACCUGUACUUUUUUCUUUUUCUUUUUAGUUUGUACUAUUUUUUAACACUCUUUUCCAAACUUUUAAUAAAGUUAUUUUCAAGAAAAGGAAAAAAGAAAAACUUUGCCAAGACUGGAAAAGGUGGUGCUGGUAGGAAAUACACACAAUCCAUUUUGUGUUCAAGCAUGUUUUGAUUCCAGAUGCAGGUCUUAAAGGCCAGCUAAGCUAUUUGGUGGUUAGUAUAUCCUGCACAAUGGAGUUUUCUCUUAUUAGAUUGCACGAUAAGGGAAAAGAUUAUUUCUCUAUCCUGUUACAGCUCUAUAAACAGUGGAUUCAGUACUCAGGAACUCCUUGCCAAACAUAGAAUUUCUCAGAUUAUCGAGUUGCUAAAGCAGGGAGCACCUCCAAAGUCUUAUAAGUCAGAAGGUGCCUGGUAGCAUCCUUCCUAUCCGACUAACUUGUUUUAUUAAAAGGUGUCAAGUCCUCCCAAUUUGUCAUUUGGAGAAGUGGCCACCAGAUCCACGUGAUCUCAAGCACCCGAAGUUAACCUUCAACUUUGCAAAUGCAGAAUCUACACAAGCCUGGUGCCACGUGAAAAUCCUCUUGUCCUACAACUCAACCACAGGUGACCAGAUGGAGAACUUGAGAAUGGAAAGUAGUAUAAAUAAUGGCUGUUGCACAUCAUUGGGCUGCACGAAGGAAACUUUUGGGAAGAUGCUAUCAGGUGAAGAUCAAGCGAUCAUCUUAAUGGGGUCAUUUAGGAUUAACACGUCAUCUGGCAGUCAACUCCAAUUGGAGGAGGAAAUUAGUUAAUUUCCAACUACAGGUAGUCCUUGACUUAUAGCCACUUAGCAACUACCUGAGGCUACAACAGACUGCUCCCAAAGUUGCUUACAAUCCAGAUUCAAAGUUCUAAUGUCACAUGGUCUGCAUUUUGGGACCUUGGCAACUGGCCAGCAUUUAUGGCUGUUUGCAGUGCCCUGCAGUCACAUGACUGCAUUUUACAGUGUGUUUUUUGGCUGGAAACUGGUAAAAAAAAACCCACAACAU
RNAcentral lists this long non-coding RNA (1070 nucleotides) under Naja naja (Indian cobra). RNAcentral's name for it is "lncRNA (ENSNNAG00000003889.1)". Lineage: Eukaryota; Metazoa; Chordata; Lepidosauria; Squamata; Elapidae. The record is from RNAcentral.